This 567-nucleotide ribosomal RNA is filed under the name uncultured bacterium. RNAcentral's name for it is "bacterial SSU rRNA". It matches the Rfam family "Bacterial small subunit ribosomal RNA", at positions 338 to 916 of the family's 1533-position model. The record is from RNAcentral.
CCUACGGGAGGCAGCAGUGGGGAAUAUUGGGCAAUGGAGGAAACUCUGACCCAGCGACGCCGCGUGCGGGAUGAAGGCCUUCGGGUUGUAAACCGCUUUCAGUAGGGAAGAAGCGAAAGUGACGGUACCUACAAAAGAAGCACCGGCUAACUAUGUGCCAGCAGCCGCGGUAAUACAUAGGGUGCAAGCGUUGUCCGGAAUUAUUGGGCGUAAAGAGCUCGUAGGUCGUUUGUUACGUCGGAUGUGAAAACCUGAGGCUCAACCUCAGGCCUGCAUUCGAUACGGGCAAACUAGAGUUUGGUAGGGGAGACUGGAAUUCCUGGUGUAGCGGUGGAAUGCGCAGAUAUCAGGAGGAACACCAAUGGCGAAGGCAGGUCUCUGGGCCAAUACUGACACUGAGGAGCGAAAGUCUGGGGAGCGAACAGGAUUAGAUACCCUGGUAGUCCAGACCGUAAACGGUGGGCACUAGUUGUGGGAACCUUCCACGGUUUCUGCGACGCAGCUAACGCAUUGAGUGCCCCGCCUGGGGAGUACGAUCGCAAGAUUAAAACUCAAAUGAAUUGACGG